Molecule: transfer RNA, 83 nt
Filed under: Anaerolineae bacterium
Lineage: Bacteria; Bacillati; Chloroflexota; Anaerolineae
Description: tRNA-Leu
Rfam family: tRNA
About the family: Transfer RNA (tRNA) molecules are approximately 80 nucleotides in length. Their secondary structure includes four short double-helical elements and three loops (D, anti-codon, and T loops). Further hydrogen bonds mediate the characteristic L-shaped molecular structure. tRNAs have two regions of fundamental functional importance: the anti-codon, which is responsible for specific mRNA codon recognition, and the 3' end, to which the tRNAs corresponding amino acid is attached (by aminoacyl-tRNA synthetases). tRNAs cope with the degeneracy of the genetic code in two manners: having more than one tRNA (with a specific anti-codon) for a particular amino acid; and 'wobble' base-pairing, i.e. permitting non-standard base-pairing at the 3rd anti-codon position.
Source: RNAcentral
GCCCCCGUGGCGGAAUUGGCAUACGCGGCAGGUUGAGGACCUGUGCCCGAAAGGGCGUGGAGGUUCAAAUCCUCUCGGGGGCA